Molecule: ribosomal RNA, 335 nt
Filed under: uncultured bacterium
Lineage: Bacteria
Description: bacterial SSU rRNA
Rfam family: Bacterial small subunit ribosomal RNA
Source: RNAcentral
GACGAACGCUGGCGGCGUGCUUAACACAUGCAAGUCGAGCGGUAAGGCCCUUUCGGGGGUACACGAGCGGCGAACGGGUGAGUAACACGUGGGUGACCUGCCCUCAGCUCUGGGAUAAGCCUGGGAAACCGGGUCUAAUACUGGAUAUGACUCCAUGACGCAUGUUGUGGGGUGGAAAGCCUUGUGCGGCUGAGGAUGGGCCCGCGGCCUAUCAGCUUGUUGGUGGGGUGANGGGCCUACCAAGGCGACGACGGGUAGCCGGCCUGAGAGGGCGACCGGCCACACUGGGACUGAGACACGGCCCAGACUCCUACGGGAGGCAGCAGUGGGGAAUA